UACGAAGGGGGCGAGCGUUGUUCGGAUUUACUGGGCGUAAAGGGCGCGCAGGCGGCUUUGUUUGUCAGGCGUGAAAGCCCCGGGCUUAACCUGGGAACUGCGUUUGAUACGGCAGGGCUAGAGUUCGGGAGAGGAGAGUGGAAUUCCCAGUGUAGAGGUGAAAUUCGUAGAUAUUGGGAAGAACACCGGUGGCGAAGGCGGCGCUCUGGACCGAGACUGACGCUGAGGCGCGAAAGCGUGGGGAGCAAACAGG
Molecule: ribosomal RNA, 253 nt
Filed under: uncultured bacterium
Lineage: Bacteria
Description: partial 16S ribosomal RNA
Rfam family: Bacterial small subunit ribosomal RNA
Source: RNAcentral